CCUACGGGAGGCAGCAGUGGGGAAUAUUGGACAAUGGGCGAAAGCCUGAUCCAGCCAUGCCGCGUGUGUGAAGAAGGCCUUCGGGUUGUAAAGCACUUUCAGUGGGGAAGAAAGCCUUGGGGCUAAUACCCUCGAGGAAGGACAUCACCCACAGAAGAAGCACCGGCUAACUCCGUGCCAGCAGCCGCGGUAAUACGGAGGGUGCGAGCGUUAAUCGGAAUUACUGGGCGUAAAGCGCGCGUAGGCGGUCUGAUAAGCCGGUUGUGAAAGCCCCGGGCUCAACCUGGGAACGGCAUCCGGAACUGUCAGGCUAGAGUGCUGGAGAGGAAGGUAGAAUUCCCGGUGUAGCGGUGAAAUGCGUAGAGAUCGGGAGGAAUACCAGUGGCGAAGGCGGCCUUCUGGACUGACACUGACGCUGAGGUGCGAAAGCGUGGGUAGCAAACAGGAUUAGAUACCCCAGUAGUC
This 465-nucleotide ribosomal RNA is filed under the name Vreelandella stevensii. RNAcentral describes it as "partial 16S ribosomal RNA". It matches the Rfam family "Bacterial small subunit ribosomal RNA", at positions 338 to 795 of the family's 1533-position model. The record is from RNAcentral. Lineage: Bacteria; Pseudomonadati; Pseudomonadota; Gammaproteobacteria; Oceanospirillales; Halomonadaceae.